ACGCUUGAAGUCAGUCACGUCUGCCAGGACUCAGCCUUGCUUCUGCUUGGUGCACUUUCUGGUUUGAUGGGCCAACAUCAAUUUUGACCGCUGGAGAAAGGCUUUGGGAAUGUGGCACCUUUGGGUGUGUUAUAGCCCUUUGUCGUAUGCAACGGUUGGGAUUGAGGACUGCAGCACGCCUUCAUGGCCGGGGUUCGCCCACGUACGUGCUUAGGAUGUUGGCAUAAUGGCUUUAAGCGACCCGUCUUGAAACACGGACCAAGGAGUC
RNAcentral lists this ribosomal RNA (268 nucleotides) under uncultured Thelephora. RNAcentral's name for it is "partial large subunit ribosomal RNA". Lineage: Eukaryota; Fungi; Basidiomycota; Agaricomycetes; Thelephorales; Thelephoraceae. The record is from RNAcentral.